GAGGAUAUGCGAGCUUGUGAGCACGGCGUGCCGGUCGGUGAGGCCUGACCUAGAUCGAGGGUCUCCGCCGCUUCGGAAGACGAACGCCGGCACAGGAUGAGGGGCGGCGGUGGGUGCCACGGUUUAGGGCGAGCUAGGGUUUUGAGGGCAGGACGGGCGGCGGGCGAUCAGGGCAGCACUGGCGUAGCCGUAGCCAGACCAGAGGGUGUAACUUUUUUUUGCUGCCG
RNAcentral lists this long non-coding RNA (227 nucleotides) under Hordeum vulgare. Its description in RNAcentral is "long non-coding RNA (HVUL_LNC019381)". Lineage: Eukaryota; Viridiplantae; Streptophyta; Magnoliopsida; Poales; Poaceae. The record is from RNAcentral.